GGCGGCAUGGUGGAAUUGGUGAUACACAUAGGACUUAAAAUCCUACGCCCCUAGAGGAUUGAGAGUUCGAGUCUCUCUGCCGCUA
This 85-nucleotide transfer RNA is filed under the name Vibrio phage JSF10. RNAcentral's name for it is "tRNA-Leu". It matches the Rfam family "tRNA". Rfam says of the family: Transfer RNA (tRNA) molecules are approximately 80 nucleotides in length. Their secondary structure includes four short double-helical elements and three loops (D, anti-codon, and T loops). The record is from RNAcentral. Lineage: Duplodnaviria; Heunggongvirae; Uroviricota; Caudoviricetes; Demerecviridae.